RNAcentral lists this ribosomal RNA (550 nucleotides) under uncultured Glomeromycotina. RNAcentral's name for it is "SSU rRNA". It matches the Rfam family "Eukaryotic small subunit ribosomal RNA", at positions 548 to 1098 of the family's 1831-position model. The record is from RNAcentral. Lineage: Eukaryota; Fungi; Glomeromycota.
UUGGAGGGGCAAGUCUGGUGCCAGCAGCCGCGGUAAUUCCAGCUCCAAUAGCGUAUAUUAAAGUUGUUGCAGUUAAAAAGCUCGUAGUUGAAUUUCGGGAUCAGCAAGUUGGUCGUGCCUCUGGUACGUACUGGCUUUACUGGUUCCUCCUUCUUGAAGAACUGUAAUGUCAUUAAUUUGAUGUUGCAGGGAAACAGGACUGUUACUUUGAAAAAAUUAGAGUGUUUAAAGCAAGCUAACGCUUGAAUACAUUAGCAUGGAAUAAUGAAAUAGGACGUUUGAUCCUAUUUUGUUGGUUUCUAGGAUUGACGUAAUGAUUAAUAGGGAUAGUUGGGGGCAUUAGUAUUCAAUUGUCAGAGGUGAAAUUCUUGGAUUUAUUGAAGACUAACUACUGCGAAAGCAUUUGCCAAGGAUGUUUUCAUUAAUCAAGAACGAAAGUUAGGGGAUCGAAGACGAUCAGAUACCGUCGUAGUCUUAACCAUAAACUAUGCCGACUAGGGAUCGGAUGAUGUUAAUUUUUUAAUGACUCAUUCGGCGCCUUACGGGAAAC